GGUCAUUGAAGCGCCGCUGCCGACGAUGGGUGUCGUCGCCAAAGUUGCAAUCCAAAAUGGGCAUUUGAGGCGCCUUAAGAAAAUCCCCUUUCAUUUCAAAUUUGCAGAAAUUGGAGGAAUUUCAAAUUAAUCCUAUUUUCGAUUUAUUGCCUUUUCAAGCUAUUGCCAAUUGCCCGUUAAAGAAGUGGGGCCCACACUUUUUU
Molecule: unclassified non-coding RNA, 203 nt
Filed under: Hevea brasiliensis (rubber tree)
Lineage: Eukaryota; Viridiplantae; Streptophyta; Magnoliopsida; Malpighiales; Euphorbiaceae
Source: RNAcentral